RNAcentral lists this ribosomal RNA (468 nucleotides) under uncultured bacterium. RNAcentral describes it as "partial 16S ribosomal RNA". It matches the Rfam family "Bacterial small subunit ribosomal RNA", at positions 28 to 507 of the family's 1533-position model. The record is from RNAcentral.
GACGAACGCUGGCGGCGCGCCUAACACAUGCAAGUCGAACGGAGCUGGGAGAAGCUUGCUUUUCUUAGCUUAGUGGCGAACGGGUGAGUAACGCGUGAGUAACCUGCCCUGGAGUGGGGGACAACAGUUGGAAACGACUGCUAAUACCGCAUAAGCCCACGAUCCGGCAUCGGCUUGAGGGAAAAGGGUUUAUUCGCUUCAGGAUGGACGCGCGCCCAUUUAUCUAGUUGGUGCGGUAACGGCCCACCAAGGCGACGAUUGGUAGCCGGACGGAGAGGUAGAACGGCCACAUUGGGGCUGGGACACGGCCCAGACUCCUACGGGAGGCAGCAGUGGGUGAUAUAGCACAAUGGGGGGAGCCCUGAUGCAGCGAGGCCGCGUAGAGGAAGAAGGUUUUCAGAUUGUAAAGUCCUGUAGUAAGGGACGAUAAUGACGGUACCUAACAAGAAAGCACCGGCUAACUACGUG